This 506-nucleotide ribosomal RNA is filed under the name uncultured bacterium. RNAcentral describes it as "partial 16S ribosomal RNA". It matches the Rfam family "Bacterial small subunit ribosomal RNA", at positions 29 to 523 of the family's 1533-position model. The record is from RNAcentral.
AGUGAACGCUGGCGGUAGGCCUAACACAUGCAAGUCGAACGGCAGCACAGGAGAGCUUGCUCUCUGGGUGGCGAGUGGCGGACGGGUGAGUAAUACAUCGGAACGUGCCCAGUCGUGGGGGAUAACGUAGCGAAAGUUACGCUAAUACCGCAUACGAUCUACGGAUGAAAGCGGGGGACCGUAAGGCCGCGCGCGAUUGGAGCGGCCGAUGUCAGAUUAGGUAGUUGGUGAGGUAAAGGCUCACCAAGCCGACGAUCUGUAGCUGGUCUGAGAGGACGACCAGCCACACUGGGACUGAGACACGGCCCAGACUCCUACGGGAGGCAGCAGUGGGGAAUUUUGGACAAUGGGCGCAAGCCUGAUCCAGCCAUUCCGCGUGCAGGACGAAGGCCUUCGGGUUGUAAACUGCUUUUGUACGGAACGAAAAGGCUCUGGUUAAUACCUGGGGCUCAUGACGGUACCGUAAGAAUAAGCACCGGCUAACUACGUGCCAGCCGCCGCGGUAA